AAGCCUAUUAAUCUUACAUGUUCAUCAUUCCAUUAUAAAUUACUAAGUCAUCUAUCAUAACUUAGAAUCAAAAUAAUAUUAAGCAUUGCCACUUCAUACUGGCAUACCAAACAAGUGUAUAUACACUGUCUACGCAUGUAUCUUAAUAAUUCACAUUAGGUUUGUUUAUACACAACAAAAGGAGACUCGAUGUCCAGCGGAGAGACUCGGACGAAUGUACAGCUACUGAAUGCCAAGACACCUACCAAAAGAUGGAUACAAGCCCACGAGGACACCUCGUCCUAGUUACCGACUGUCUCUUAAUCUGAAAACAUGAAGUUGAAAAUGGUGAGCAUAAACUCAGUGAGUGAACAAGAAGGGAACAAGCAUACCAUAAGGAAUGUUUAUCGAAAUCAUGAUGCACUCAUUUUCUCAAAACAAUGCAAUUUGUUCUAGUUCUUAGUAUAACCCCUCAUGUAAACCCCUCAUGAGUAAAUCACUUAAAAGAUCCAUAUUCAACUAUGGUACCAAAGAAUCGAAAAAUAUAGCAAAACCCACAAGUUAGCCAAAAUGGAUAGAAAGUUUCUCGUUGCAGCGAACUUCAUUCUCGUUGCAGCGAGAACCAGGUCUGGUGAAGGCCCUCAAACCUGAGAGUUUCUCGUUGCAGCGAGAGUCAUAACAUAAAGGAAAAAGGCUCAUUUUCCUUUAAAACAAGCCAUCUUGCUAAAAUAACAAUAGCAACAUGUAACACAUGUAAACUCCCAAAUUUCAACAAAUCAAAUGCUCACAUAUUUGCAUUUACAACCAUAUACCAUAUAUGUAUAUAUAUAUAUAUACAUCAAUCAUCAUGUACACCCUCCCAACAUCAUCAUCUCAUAUGCAACGGCCUAUGCGUACUCCCACUCGCACAUAGUCGGGUCAGCAAUGACUUAUGUGCACUCCCAUUCGCACAUAGCUGGGUCAGCAAAGGCUUAUGUGCACUCCUACUCACACAUAGCAGGGUCCACAUCAACAUGCUAAGAAGCAUCCAAUGCAUAUCAUGCAUUUUAUUAUAUUGUGAUAACACAUAAACCAUUGUAUAGCACAUUUUCAUAAUAUCAAAUCAUUUUACUAAAAGCUUGUUCCCAAGGUACAUUUUCUAAGACAAGUUGGAUAGAAUCUUUCAUAUUUCCCAAAACAAGUUUGAAAUGCAAGUCCACUCACCCGUAUUCGUUGAGCCUUUAGCCGACUGUUAAUCCCCCUAAUGAUCCAAUUGGGGUGAUGGGGCUUCGUUAGCACCUACCAUCAAAUUAACAUUUCCAUAAUGUCAAUUUACAUACUAUAAACCCUAAAAGCUAUCUUUUAGCUAACUUUCAAUUGCCAUUUAAAUGGCCAUCCAUUUUCACUUUCCUAUCACUCCAAAGUGAAUUAACAAUCUCAACUACAAAAUAUCACAAAUCAAAUCUCGUUUCAUUCUCAACACUUAAAACCCAAUACUAGCUUACCACUCACCUUGAUAGCUUUGUAACUUUGAACUUCUUUCCAAAAGCUCUCAAGCUAUUAAUAAAGCUUCCUCUUUCUCUCCCUAAAGCACCUAACUAGUGAGAGAUUAUGGAAACAAGAUUUUCAUUAUUUUUGAGGUUUUUAAAGUGAGAGAGUGGAAGAAUACAAGGGUUCUAGUAAAAAGGGCACCAAGGUAUGAAAAUUAGAACUAGAGAGAGAAAGUUAUGAAAGCUUCACAUCAAGCUUCCAUGGAAGAAUUGAAGAAACGUGAGAGGGAAGAGAACAAGAAGAAGAAGUUGCUAGAAGGAGAGGAUAUUUAUGGCCCAAGCGUAUCCACUCCCUUGGAAAUUACUAAAAUACCCAUCCACAAAUUAGCUUAAUCCUUGAAAUCCCACACUUUUUCUUCAAUUUUCCCACCUAGGGUUUGUGUUCUUUCCUUUCC
This 1903-nucleotide long non-coding RNA is filed under the name Theobroma cacao (cacao). RNAcentral's name for it is "long non-coding RNA (TCAC_LNC001743)". Lineage: Eukaryota; Viridiplantae; Streptophyta; Magnoliopsida; Malvales; Malvaceae. The record is from RNAcentral.